RNAcentral lists this long non-coding RNA (518 nucleotides) under Salmo salar (Atlantic salmon). Its description in RNAcentral is "lncRNA (ENSSSAG00000091741.1)". The record is from RNAcentral. Lineage: Eukaryota; Metazoa; Chordata; Actinopteri; Salmoniformes; Salmonidae.
AUCUGAGAAGCGUGAGUUUGUCAUUAAUUGUUUAUCAAGACAUAGGAUAGGUUGUGUGAAAAUAUUACUGAUGUUUAACGUUAAAAAUGGACCAAAAGAUUAAUGCUAAACAACGUUUGACAUGUUUGAACGAACCUAAAUAGAUUAUUUACUAGGUUUUUUUAGCUUUUCGGCGUGAUUUUACCAGCCCCCCACCACGUUUUGUGGGAGCAUAAUGAACGCUAAGUACUUGGUGUUAUUUGGACAUAAAUUAUGAACUUUGUCAAAAGAAACCACAUUUGUUCCGGACCUGGAAUGCCUUCCGGACCUGGGAUCCUGCCUUCUGAUGGAGAUAAUCAAAGUUAUAGGCUACAACUCCCUUAUGGACUCAGGAGAGGCAAAGGUCGAGAGCCAUGCAUCCUCCGAAACACGACCCCGCCAAGCCACACUGCUUUUUGACACCCGCCCGCUUAAGCCAGCCCACCAAUGUGUUGGAGGAAAUACUGUUCAACUGACAACUGAAGACUGCAGGCGCCCGG